UACGGGGGGAGCAAGCGUUGUUCGGAUUUACUGGGCGUAAAGGGCGCGUAGGCGGCCAACUAAGUCCGACGUGAAAUCCCAAGGCUUAACUCGGAAAGGUCAACUGAUACUGUGCGACUAGAGUGCAGAAGGGGCAACUGGAAUUCUCGGUGUAGCGGUGAAAUGCGUAGAUAUCGAGAGGAACACCUGCGGCGAAGGCGGGUUGCUGGGCUGACACUGACGCUGAUGCGCGAAAGCCAGGGGAGCGAACGGG
Molecule: ribosomal RNA, 253 nt
Filed under: uncultured bacterium
Lineage: Bacteria
Description: partial 16S ribosomal RNA
Rfam family: Bacterial small subunit ribosomal RNA
Source: RNAcentral